CAAGUCGAGCGAGAAAGGGGCUUCGGCCCUGAGUAAAGCGGCGCACGGGUGAGUAACACGUGGGUAAUCUGCCCUAGAGUGGGGAAUAACACCGGGAAACCGGUGCUAAUACCGCAUACGAUCACGAUGUCUUCGGGUGUUGUGAUGAAAGGAGCAAUUCGCUCUUGGAGGAGCCCGCGGCUGAUUAGCUAGUUGGUGAGGUAAUGGCUCACCAAGGCAACGAUCAGUAGCCGGUCUGAGAGGACGGUCGGCCACACUGGAACUGAGACACGGUCCAGACUCCUACGGGAGGCAGCAGUGGGGAAUUUUUCGCAAUGGGGGCAACCCUGACGAAGCAACGCCGCGUGGAUGAUGAAGUCUCUUGGGACGUAAAAUCCUUUCGACGGGGACGAAACCGCAAGGUUGACGGUACCCGUAGAAGAAGCCCCGGCUAACUCCGUGCCAGCAGCCGCGGUAAUACGGGGGGGGCAAGCGUUGUUCGGAAUUACUGGGCGUAAAGGGCGCGUAGGCGGUUCGCUAAGUUGAAUGUGAAAACUCUGGGCUUAACCCAGAGCCUGCAUUCAAUACUGGCGGGCUAGAGUUCUGGAGGGGAUAGCGGAAUUCCUGGUGUAGCGGUGAAAUGCGUAGAUAUCAGGAGGAACACCGGUGGCGAAGGCGGCUAUCUGGACAGAGUCUGACGCUGAGGCGCGAAAGCUAGGGGAGCAAACAGGAUUAGAUACCCUGGUAGUCCUAGCCCUAAACGAUGGAUACUUGCUGUGACUGGGAUUGAAUCCAGUCGUGGCGAAGCUAACGCAUUAAGUAUCCCGCCUUGGGGAGUACGGUCGCAAGGCUGAAACUCAAAGGAAUUGA
This 849-nucleotide ribosomal RNA is filed under the name uncultured Acidobacteriota bacterium. RNAcentral's name for it is "bacterial SSU rRNA". It matches the Rfam family "Bacterial small subunit ribosomal RNA", at positions 58 to 913 of the family's 1533-position model. Lineage: Bacteria; Pseudomonadati; Acidobacteriota. The record is from RNAcentral.